Molecule: unclassified non-coding RNA, 351 nt
Filed under: soil metagenome
Description: partial contains 5.8S ribosomal RNA, internal transcribed spacer 2, and large subunit ribosomal RNA
Rfam family: 5.8S ribosomal RNA (bases 1-120)
Source: RNAcentral
GAUGAAGAACGUAGCGAAAUGCGAUAAGUAAUGUGAAUUGCAGAAUUCAGUGAAUCAUCGAAUCUUUGAACGCACAUUGCGCCCGCCAGUAUUCUGGCGGGCAUGCCUGUUCGAGCGUCAUUACAACCCUCAGGCCCCCGGGCCUGGCGUUGGGGAUCGGCGGAAGCCCCCUGCGGGCACAACGCCGUCCCCCAAAUACAGUGGCGGUCCCGCCGCAGCUUCCAUUGCGUAGUAGCUAACACCUCGCAACUGGAGAGCGGCGCGGCCACGCCGUAAAACACCCAACUUCUGAAUGUUGACCUCGAAUCAGGUAGGAAUACCCGCUGAACUUAAGCAUAUCAAUAGCGGAGA